This is a non-coding RNA of Erinaceus europaeus (western European hedgehog), 134 nucleotides long. NCBI's taxonomy places the organism in Eukaryota, Metazoa, Chordata, Mammalia, Eulipotyphla, Erinaceidae. The record is from Rfam.
CUCCAAAGUGUUGAGUUCAGAUCAGGGCAGCUUCCCUAUUCUCUUCAUUAAACUUUGUGACAUUGAAAUGGAGGCUAGGGAGGAUGGCUAAAUAUAAAACAUUACUCUAUUCAUUUACUCCUCUGCCUAAAAAA